Molecule: ribosomal RNA, 496 nt
Filed under: uncultured bacterium
Lineage: Bacteria
Description: partial 16S ribosomal RNA
Rfam family: Bacterial small subunit ribosomal RNA
Source: RNAcentral
GAUGAACGCUGGCGGCGUGCCUAAUACAUGCAAGUCGAGCGAACAGACGAGGAGCUUGCUCCUCUGACGUUAGCGGCGGACGGGUGAGUAACACGUGGAUAACCUACCUAUAAGACUGGGAUAACUUCGAGAAACCGGAGCUAAUACCGGAUAAUAUAUUGAACCGCAUGGUUCAAUAGUGAAAGACGGUUUUGCUGUCACUUAUAGAUGGAUCCGCGCCGCAUUAGCUAGUUGGUAAGGUAACGGCUUACCAAGGCGACGAUGCGUAGCCGACCUGAGAGGGUGAUCGGCCACACUGGAACUGAGACACGGUCCAGACUCCUACGGGAGGCAGCAGUAGGGAAUCUUCCGCAAUGGGCGAAAGCCUGACGGAGCAACGCCGCGUGAGUGAUGAAGGUCUUCGGAUCGUAAAACUCUGUUAUUAGGGAAGAACAAAUGUGUAAGUAACUAUGCACGUCUUGACGGUACCUAAUCAGAAAGCCACGGCUAACUACGU